RNAcentral lists this ribosomal RNA (562 nucleotides) under uncultured bacterium. RNAcentral's name for it is "bacterial SSU rRNA". It matches the Rfam family "Bacterial small subunit ribosomal RNA", at positions 338 to 916 of the family's 1533-position model. The record is from RNAcentral.
CCUACGGGAGGCAGCAGUGGGGAAUAUUGGACAAUGGGCGAAAGCCUGAUCCAGCCAUGCCGCGUGUGUGAUGAAGGCCUUAGGGUUGUAAAGCACUUUUGUCCGGGAAGAUAAUGACUGUACCGGAAGAAUAAGCCCCGGCUAACUUCGUGCCAGCAGCCGCGGUAAUACGAAGGGGGCUAGCGUUGCUCGGAAUCACUGGGCGUAAAGGGCGCGUAGGCGGACUCUUAAGUCGGGGGUGAAAGCCCAGGGUCUCAACCCUGGAAUUGCCUUCGAUACUGAGAGUCUUGAGUUCGGAAGAGGUUGGUGGAACUGCGAGUGUAGAGGUGAAAUUCGUAGAUAUUCGCAAGAACACCAGUGGCGAAGGCGGCCAACUGGUCCGAUACUGACGCUGAGGCGCGAAAGCGUGGGGAGCAAACAGGAUUAGAUACCCUGGUAGUCCGACGCCGUAAACGAUGAAUGCCAGCCGUUGGGGUGCAUGCACCUCAGUGGCGCAGCUAACGCUUUAAGCAUUCCGCCUGGGGAGUACGGUCGCAAGNUUAAAACCUUAAGGAAUUGACGG